RNAcentral lists this ribosomal RNA (1123 nucleotides) under uncultured bacterium. Its description in RNAcentral is "bacterial SSU rRNA". It matches the Rfam family "Bacterial small subunit ribosomal RNA", at positions 47 to 1162 of the family's 1533-position model. The record is from RNAcentral.
AUUGAUUUUAUGCUUGCAUAAAUGAUUUUUGGAUUCGGAGCGAGUGGCGAACUGGUGAGUAACACGUGGGUAACCUGCCCCGAAGCGGGGGAUAACAUUUGGAAACAAGUGCUAAUACCGCAUAAUUAGUUGGAACCGCAUGGUUCCAACUUGAAAGAUGGCUCUGCUAUCACUUUGGGAUGGACCCGCGCCGUAUUAGUUAGUUGGUGAGAUAAAAGCCCACCAAGACGAUGAUACGUAGCCGACCUGAGAGGGUAAUCGGCCACAUUGGGACUGAGACACGGCCCAGACUCCUACGGGAGGCAGCAGUAGGGAAUCUUCCACAAUGGACGAAAGUCUGAUGGAGCAACGCCGCGUGAGUGAUGAAGGUUUUCGGAUCGUAAAACUCUGUUGUUAAAGAAGAACAAGUGUUAGAGUAACUGUUAACACUUUGACGGUAUUUAACCAGAAAGCCACGGCUAACUACGUGCCAGCAGCCGCGGUAAUACGUAGGUGGCAAGCGUUGUCCGGAUUUAUUGGGCGUAAAGCGAGCGCAGGCGGUUUUGUAAGUCUGCUGUGAAAGCCCUCAGCUCAACUGAGGAAGUGCAGUGGAAACUACAAAACUUGAGUACAGAAGAGGAAAGUGGAACUCCAUGUGUAGCGGUGAAAUGCGUAGAUAUAUGGAAGAACACCAGUGGCGAAGGCGGCUUUCUGGUCUGUUACUGACGCUGAGGCUCGAAAGCAUGGGUAGCGAACAGGAUUAGAUACCCUGGUAGUCCAUGCCGUAAACGAUGAAUACUAGGUGUUGGAGGGUUUCCGCCCUUCAGUGCCGCAGCUAACGCAUUAAGUAUUCCGCCUGGGGAGUACGACCGCAAGGUUGAAACUCAAAAGAAUUGACGGGGGCCCGCACAAGUGGUGGAGCAUGUGGUUUAAUUCGAUGCUACGCGAAGAACCUUACCAGCUCUUGACAUCUUCUGCCAACCCAAGAGAUUGGGCGUUCCCUUCGGGGACAGAAUGACAGGUGGUGCAUGGUUGUCGUCAGCUCGUGUCGUGAGAUGUUGGGUUAAGUCCCGCAACGAGCGCAACCCUUAUUAUUAGUUGCCAGCAUUUAGUUGGGCACUCUAGUGAGACUGCCGGUGAUAAA